RNAcentral lists this long non-coding RNA (373 nucleotides) under Physcomitrium patens. RNAcentral's name for it is "long non-coding RNA (PPAT_LNC008423)". Lineage: Eukaryota; Viridiplantae; Streptophyta; Bryopsida; Funariales; Funariaceae. The record is from RNAcentral.
UUGGAGUUCUAGCUCACCUUUCUGGUGUUGUUCUUGUACUCAUGUGUUUAAUCUAGUUCUGCCACUUCUUCUUGAACUUCUUGUUAGAUUUCAAGUCUGUAUUUUGUGUCCGUGACAGUUUGUCGAGACUACACUAACUUGAGAUAUCAGAGCUCGUUCUUUCUUAGUAGAGUGUGGAUUACCCCUCUACUUGAAAGUAUACUAGCAUUUUAUAGAGGUUGCGGAUUACCCUCCUCUAAACUGAUACUUCUUCUGUUACAAUAUUGGAGUCUUAUUCUUCUUGGAGAGAGUGGAUUACCCCUCUUCUUGAAAUUCUUAAGGCGUUUUAUAGUUUGUGGACCACCCUCCUAUAAACCAAUAUUGCCUCUUGUAG